ACGAACGCUGGCGGCGCGCCUAACACAUGCACGUCGAACGAGCGAGAGAGAGCUUGCUUUCUCGAGCGAGUGGCGAACGGGUGAGUAACGCGUGAGGAACCUGCCUCAAAGAGGGGGACAACAGUUGGAAACGACUGCUAAUACCGCAUAAGCCCACGGCUCGGCAUCGAGCAGGGGGAAAAGGAGCAAUCCGCUUUGAGAUGGCCUCGCGUCCGAUUAGCUAGUUGGUGAGGUAACGGCCCACCAAGGCGACGAUCGGUAGCCGGACUGAGAGGUUGAACGGCCACAUUGGGACUGAGACACGGCCCAGACUCCUACGGGAGGCAGCAGUGGGGAAUAUUGCACAAUGGGGGAAACCCUGAUGCAGCGACGCCGCGUGGAGGAAGAAGGUCUUCGGAUUGUAAACUCCUGUUGUUGGGGAAGAUAAUGACGGUACCCAACAAGGAAGUGACGGCUAACUACGUG
This 465-nucleotide ribosomal RNA is filed under the name uncultured bacterium. RNAcentral's name for it is "partial 16S ribosomal RNA". It matches the Rfam family "Bacterial small subunit ribosomal RNA", at positions 29 to 507 of the family's 1533-position model. The record is from RNAcentral.